RNAcentral lists this transfer RNA (64 nucleotides) under Mesaphorura yosii. RNAcentral describes it as "tRNA-Leu". The record is from RNAcentral. Lineage: Eukaryota; Metazoa; Arthropoda; Collembola; Poduromorpha; Tullbergiidae.
GUUGAUUUGGCAGAAUAGUGCUUUAAAUUUAGAAUUUAAUUAUAGAUUAGACAUCUAGUCAAUA